AUUUCUCUCUCGCUAUUAUAUAAAAGUAUAUGCAGCAAUGGAAUUUUCUUUUAGGUUUUUCAGGUGCUUGUUUCAAGGAUGGAUUAAAAGGAACAUUAAAGUUAAUUGCGAGCACUUUUGCUGUCAGAUGAAGGCGUUCUGAGGCAUGCAGCUUUUUCUUCCCGGUAAAGAAUUGUCGUGAGGAAAGGAUUAUAAUAAAUGGUCUAGGCAGCUUUAUCGGAUAAGAAAGAAGAGCUCCGAAACCCUGACUUCUACAUCAGUUGUUGUGUGAAC
Long non-coding RNA from Hyla sarda, 273 nucleotides. RefSeq lists it as uncharacterized. The record is from RefSeq and is a predicted model, not a curated record. NCBI's taxonomy places the organism in Eukaryota, Metazoa, Chordata, Amphibia, Anura, Hylidae. The transcript is spliced from 3 exons.